CUUCCGUAAGGGGAACCUGCGGAAGGAUCAUUACAGAAUGAAAAGUGCUUAACUGCAUUUUUUCUUACACAUGUGUUUUUCUUUUUUUGAAAACUUUGCUUUGGUAGGCCUUCUAUAUGGGGCCUGCCAGAGAUUAAACUCAACCAAAUUUUAUUUAAUGUCAACCGAUUAUUUAAUAGUCAAAACUUUCAACAACGGAUCUCUUGGUUCUCGCAUCGAUGAAGAACGCAGCGAAAUGCGAUAAGUAAUAUGAAUUGCAGAUAUUCGUGAAUCAUCGAAUCUUUGAACGCACAUUGCGCCCUUUGGUAUUCCAAAGGGCAUGCCUGUUUGAGCGUCAUUUCUCCCUCAAACCCUCGGGUUUGGUGUUGAGCGAUACGCUGGGUUUGCUUGAAAGAAAGGCGGAGUAUAAACUAAUGGAUAGGUUUUUUCCACUCAUUGGUACAAACUCCAAAACUUCUUCCAAAUUCGACCUCAAAUCAGGUAGGACUACCCGCUGAACUUAAGCAUAUCAAUAAGCCGGAGGAAAA
Molecule: ribosomal RNA, 527 nt
Filed under: Lodderomyces parapsilosis
Lineage: Eukaryota; Fungi; Ascomycota; Pichiomycetes; Serinales; Debaryomycetaceae
Description: eukaryotic LSU rRNA
Rfam family: 5.8S ribosomal RNA (bases 184-337)
Source: RNAcentral